Molecule: transfer RNA, 74 nt
Filed under: Canis lupus familiaris (dog)
Lineage: Eukaryota; Metazoa; Chordata; Mammalia; Carnivora; Canidae
Also listed under: 2 other names
Rfam family: tRNA
About the family: Transfer RNA (tRNA) molecules are approximately 80 nucleotides in length. Their secondary structure includes four short double-helical elements and three loops (D, anti-codon, and T loops).
Source: Rfam by way of RNAcentral
ACCCUGCUGGCUUAGUCAGUAGAGUGUGCGACUCUUGAUUUCAUGAGUUGUGAGUUUGAGCCCCACGUGGGGUG